GAAAGAUGCGGUUACCCGCUGUUCGGUUUCGGCCCGAUCCUUUGAGAUUAAAAUUCUCAUCUU
Molecule: transfer RNA, 63 nt
Filed under: Hyperhalosydna striata
Lineage: Eukaryota; Metazoa; Annelida; Polychaeta; Phyllodocida; Polynoidae
Description: tRNA-Arg
Source: RNAcentral